CCCAUAACUCAGGGAUAGCCUUUCGAAAGAAAGAUUAAUACCUGAUAGACUUUUUCAAGGCAUCUUGAGAAAGUUAAAGAUUUAUUGGUUAUGGAUGGGGAUGCGUUCCAUUAGAUAGUUGGUGAGGUAACGGCUCACCAAGUCUUCGAUGGAUAGGGGUUCUGAGAGGAAGGUCCCCCACAUUGGUACUGAGACACGGACCAAACUCCUACGGGAGGCAGCAGUGAGGAAUAUUGGUCAAUGGGCGAGAGCCUGAACCAGCCAAGUAGCGUGAAGGAAUGAAGGUCCUAUGGGUUGUAAACUUCUUUUAUAGUAGAAUAAAGUGAUCCACGUGUGGAUUUUUGUAUGUAUACUAUGAAUAAGGAUCGGCUAACUCCGUGCCAGCCGCAGC
Molecule: ribosomal RNA, 391 nt
Filed under: uncultured bacterium
Lineage: Bacteria
Description: bacterial SSU rRNA
Rfam family: Bacterial small subunit ribosomal RNA
Source: RNAcentral